AGGAGGCGGGGCAGCCGGCGCGCCCAGGUGGGCGAGUCUAGUCGGAACUGCAGCCCGGAGUUUGUUCCAGUUCCUUGUCCCGGCUGGAGGCUGGAAGGGAUAGUAGAAGGAAUGCGAUCUCUUGCCAUUCAUAGAGCCCCGGAGGCCACGUGAGAAAACGCUGAUGCGGCACCUCCAUCGAGGGAUCACCCCUCUUUUGGGCUUUCCUGGCGCGUGUUGUAUGAUCUGGUUACGUCCUUGGACCCUACAGACACAAAGGGAAGCUGGUUUGAAAAAACUGUUGAGUUGGCAUGCUCCCUCCGUCGUCUAGGCUGAGAAAAUAAUUUCAAGCAAGGCUGGGAAACACAAAAGUAAAUAGUAUGAAAUGAUGUCAGCAAAAAAUGGGAAAAAAGUAGGGAACUCAAGAAUGAAUAAGCUGGCAAAACCGUCAGGAGCACCUUUUUUGGAAACUCUGAAACUGAUUAAAAAAAACUCACAAAAGCCAGGGGAACAUAUAAUGAAGAAAAAACUGCUGAAUUUUGGCAAGAGAGUUCUGUGGUCAUCUUCUACUCUCCAAGUUGGCAGUGGCCUUGAAGAUGGCAGCCACAUUCCUGGUGUGGGUUGCUGGCACCAGAGGGAGCACUAUAGACCUUAUCCUCAAGGAAUUGUAGGUGUGUUUUGACCUCUCUGAUGGUUUCCUGAAGGUUCAACUCAAGGGCUUGCCUUUGUUUCACCUGCCUCAGAGCUUCCUCAGGGCUCAGGCAGCUUCCCAGGCAGUGUUUGUCAAAAACAUUAAAGGCAAACAGCCAGUGUCACAGAAAGCAAGGUAUGAAAGCCAGGACAAGCAAUAAACAGACCAAAAAUCCUGGGAAGGAAGAGGCUGGAGAAGGAGAUAGUUGGGGGAAUAAAGGCUUUGGAAAGCUUCAUUUUAUUCUGGGGAAUCUAGAAGGCCAUCGGCAUGCCCUAGUCUGGAUGCAUACUCAGAGAAAAACCUAAGAACACCGUAAACUCUCACCUCUGACUGACCUUCAGCUUUCAUGCAAGCAGUUGUAAACUACCUAGUUAAGCAUUGAAGGGGUGCCACAACACAUAGCUAACUGGCAAAGACUGGGAGUGUUUUCUCGCAUUUUGGGCUUUUAUCUUUUUAUUUUUUGGUUCCAGACAUUUAAUAAAAGAAAUCAACAACAACAACAAACUCUGGUGGGGAGUGGGAGAAGCAGAUAUCCAGAAUUACCAUAUUAUAUACAAAAUGUCCAGUUUUCAACAAGAAAAAAUUAUGAGGCAUGCAAAGAAAUGAGAAAGUAUGGCUUAUUUAAAAGGAAAAAAUUUUUAGAGAACAUUCCUUUGGGAAGCCCAGACAUUGUCGACUGUCUUCAAUAUGCUCAAAGAGCAAAGAAAAUAAUAGACAAUAACUAAAGGAAACCAGGAAAAGUGAAUUGUUCAAUAAAUAGAGGAUACUAUUAAAGAGGUAGAAAUUAUAAAAAGAAACCAAAUAGAGUUGCUGGAGUUGAAAAGCACAAUAAUUGAAAUAUAAUGUUCACUGGAGGGGUUAAAUAGCAGAUUUGAGCAGGCAAAAGAAAGAUUGGGGAAUUUGGAGAUAUAUCAAGAGUAUACAGUUUGAGGAACAGAAAGAAAAAAUAAGAAAAAUGAACAAGACCUGUAAGGAUUGUGGGACACCAUCAAGCACAGUGGGAAUUCCAAAAGGAGAGGAGAAAAGAAAGGAGUGUAAAGAAUAUUUGAAGAAAUAAUAGCUGAAAAAUUACCAAAUUUAAUGAAAGACAGGCUACACAUCUAAGAAGCUCAAUGAACUUCAGGGCGGAUAAAUUGAAAGAGAUCUACACCAAGACAAAUUGUGAUUAAAUUGUUAAAAGACAAAAACAAAGAGAAUUUUGGCAGCAGCAAGAGAGAAAUGACUGGUCAUUCCUUAAUGAAGGAAUCUUCAUUAUGAUUAACAGUAGGCUUAUCAUCAGAAACCAUGGAGCUCAGAAGGCAGUGGAAUGACAUAAGUGCUGCGAAAAAAAGCCAAAAAAGAAUCCCGAAUCUAGCAAAAGUAUCCUUAAAAAAUGAAGGAGAAAUAAAUAUGUUCCUAGAACAACAAAAACAGAGGGAGUUCAUAACUACAAGGAAUACUAAAGGAAGUCCUUCAGCCUGAAAAGAGGCUAGGAAGCCAUAUGAAGAACUAAAGAAUAUCAGUAAAGGUAACUACAUAGGUGAAAUUAAAAGUAAGUAGUUUUCUAUUUUUGGAUUUGUAACUCCUCUUUUUUAAGGAAAAAGGAUUUAAAAAAUAAAUGCAUAAAAGAAUAUUUAUAAAUCUGUGUUAGGCCGGGUGCAGUGGCUCACGCUUGUAAUCCCAGCACUUUGGGAGGCCGAGGCAGGCGAAUCACGAGGUCAGGAGAUGGAGACCACGGUGAAACCCCGUCUCUACUAAAAAAAAAAUAUAAAAAAUUAGCCGGGCGUGGUGGCGGGCGCCUGUAGUCCCAGCUACUCGGAGAGGCUGAGGCAGGAGAAUGGCGUGAACCUGGGAGGUGGAGCUUGCAGUGAGCCGAGAUUGCGCCACUGCACUCCAGCCUGGGCGACAGAGCAAGACUCUGUCUCAAAAAAAAAAAAAAAAAAAAAAAAAAUCUCUCUUAAUAAGCAUAUAAUACAUAAAGAUGUAAUUUUAGACAGUGCUACCCUAAUAGUUGGAGAGUUCAACACCUUGCAUUGCAUAAAGGCCCAGACAGAAGAUCAACAAAAAAGUUGAAGACUUGAACAACACAUAAACCAACUAGAUCUAACAGACAUUUAUAGAACAUCACUCCCUCCCAAGAACAGCAAAGUAUAUGAUAUGGUUUGGCUGUGUGUCCCCACCCAUAUCUCAUCUUGAAUUGUACUCCUAUAGUUCCCACGUGUUUUGGGUGGGACCUGGUGGGAGAUAAUUGAAUCAUGGGGGCAGUUUUCCCCAUACUGUUCUUGUGGUAGUAAGUCUCAUGAGAUCUGAUGGUUUUAUAAGGGGUUUCUGCUUUCGCUUCUCUCUCAUUCUCUCUUUGCCUGCCACCACCAUGUGAGAUGUGACUUGCUCCUCCUUGCCUUCUGCCAUGAUUAUGAGGCCUCCCCAGCCAUGUGGAACUAGAAUGCAGCAACAAGGUGCCAUCUUGGAACUGGAAACUGAGCCCUCACCAGACACUGAUCCUGCUGGUGCCUUGAUCUUGGACUCCAAGCCUCUAGAACUAUCUGAAGAAGCCUCGCAGCUUCUGCCUUGUCUCUUGGAAUUUUGUCCUUGCAAUGUUUGCCUGGUUGGAAUGCUCACUCUGGGGGUAAGCAACCAACAUAAGAAGCCUGACUGAGACCACCAACUGUGAGGAAGCCCAAGCUAGCCACUUGGAGAGAGAGAGACACCUGGCCAGCACCCAGCUGUUCCAGGUAUCCCAGUCACCAGAUAGCUGAAGAAAGAAGCCAUCUUGAAUGUUAAACAAAUUGAUAUCGAACGUUAAGAUGAAUCAAGUCCCAGCCAACAUCUGAAGGUAACUGCAUGAGAGAUGCCAACUGAGCCCCCUCAAUCAACAGAACCAUGAAAGAUAAUAAUAAAUUGUUUUAAGCUA
Symphalangus syndactylus (siamang) is the source of this 3560-nucleotide long non-coding RNA. RefSeq lists it as uncharacterized. The record is from RefSeq and is a predicted model, not a curated record. NCBI's taxonomy places the organism in Eukaryota, Metazoa, Chordata, Mammalia, Primates, Hylobatidae.